GCGCGGUGAAUACGUUCCCGGGCCUUGUACACACCGCCCGUCAAGCCAUGGAAGCCGGGGGUACCUGAAGUCGGUCGCCGCAAGGAGCUGCCUAGGGUAAAACUGGUAACUGGGGCUAAGUCGUAACAAGGUAGCCGUACCGGAAGGUGCGGCUGGAACACCUCCUUU
This 168-nucleotide ribosomal RNA is filed under the name Desulfuromonadales bacterium. RNAcentral's name for it is "partial 16S ribosomal RNA". It matches the Rfam family "Bacterial small subunit ribosomal RNA", at positions 1357 to 1533 of the family's 1533-position model. Lineage: Bacteria; Pseudomonadati; Thermodesulfobacteriota; Desulfuromonadia; Desulfuromonadales. The record is from RNAcentral.